AGAGAUACAAUCACCAUUAUAUUUUACAUCACAGGGAAUCACUUUACAAGAGUUUCCAACAAUAGAGCAAGGUUUCAAAUUUAGAGAAAACAAUACAAACUGAUAAAGUUAGGGUUUUUAGCAGCGGAAAUCAUACGUGAUGACCUACAGCACGUCGUCAAGACGGAUGUCAUGCUAAGCCCAGGCACGACAUCACUCGAUAUCACCAGUGCUGGCCGAGGACGGAUCCCAUUCCACGGACCAUUCAUCUGGAAGAGCAUAGGGCCAAGGCAAGGGAAGAGUAGGGUCUUCACAGAUAUCACCUGAAAAACAUACAACUAGCAAGGCUGAGUAUACUAAUACUCAGCAAGGCUUACCCGGAAUUGGGUAUACUUUAGCCCAUAACUAGACUUAUGAAGGCUUGUAAAAGUUCUGGGUUUAGUUUCAGCUGAAAAAGCAACUAAGAGUAGAUCCUUAUUUUCAACUUUUAGCUUUCAAGUUCUAUGUGAUUAACCAUUCUAGAUAAGCACUUAUAACUAAGCAAGCAAGGUAGAGCUCUUUAUCUCAUCCAUCAGUAUUGCUUAUCAUAUAGUUGCUCUUCUUACUCUGUGUGAUAAAGGGGAUAAGUAGUCUCAAUCAUCGUGAGAGGCGGACGAUUCUGAAUCGAAUUUAACCUUGCAAGGUAAACCUAACUCACACGCUUGGAACAUCCAAUAUUUGUUCCGAAGCAACCGUUUGCCUUUCAUUCCGACUCGUGGACAGGUCCACCACAAGCGACUGCAGGAACAUACGCACAUCACUCGUGCAGGACAUACGUCUGUAGCGCGACUACAAAACCCGUAUUCCUGGUUGCCCUUGCAACACGUAUUUCCUCAGUCGAACGUAAGUAACCAGAAGAAGCAAUCGAGUGGUGGGAGGUAUGUCCACUCCUCGGGCCGAUUGGCUACUAGGCUUACCGCUUACCCAUAACUCACGGCAUGUGGUUAGUACUUUCAAACGCUUAACCCCGAUCGGCACACACCGCGACCUUAUCAGAUUCAACAACACAGACGGGGUAUCACCUCAACCAUGAUACCGCACAAAACUCCCGUCCGGCAUCCUUAUAGUGAUAACAGAGAUGUAAGCAUUACAACUCCUAUAUCGCGCGAGUGACAGGAAAUCACCCGACUUCUUCCGGCCCUAAUAGCAUAGCAGCUAGUCGGACUCAAGUACUAGUAUCCAUCACAUUGGUUCCUAGGAGAAUGCAACUAGGGUUUCAAGCAAUUCCUAAGAACUUAAUGCAUAGAAUACGUAAAUAGAUAUAGAUUGCAGUAUAAUAAAAAUAGUAGGUUAUGUCCGGGGCUUGCCUUUACUGGUGAGUCUGAAGUUAGGAAUGUUAAUAUCUUCCGAACUUUGGUUCGGGGCUUCAGAUAAUCCUUUGGUGACGUUCCUUUGGUCUUCGGGAACAUCCUCCGUAGACUCCGGGGAGAUCUCGUAGGUACUGUCUGCGGAAGUAGUCGUAUCUACAUGCAAUGCAACAUUCCAUUCAUAGUGUGCACGUAAAACUACCUUACUUCACAAUUCAAUUGCAAUCCAGCAUUCAUACAACAUACUAUUCACAUAUUAACCAAAAAGAUCUGAACUAAACCUAGAUAGAGCUUUAGGGGGACAACUAACUAGAAUCGGCUACUCGUUGAAGAUUACAACAGAGCCGAUUGGAAACAACGAGGGUUUGGCUGAUUGAUGAGUGCGUCGGUUUCCUAGGGGAUCGAUGAAAUCAUCGAUUACCUUGGCAGAAGGAUGACUCCUAAAGUAGUUGUCUUACUGAGAUGUGCUUAGGUGUUAUCUAGGUGACUAAGUGUGGUUGUAUCGACUCGAUUACGUCAGCACAACUAUUGAGUGACGUACAGCCGAUGGGGUAUGGUUAAGGGUAUAGAACCGAUAGAUAUGCAGCCGAUUUCUCAGUUGAUAAAUCGACUGAUAGAAGUGUAUAGAUAAGGGUGGGAAAACUAAGGAUCGAUCGGCUAUAACCGAUAUGGAAAAGUAACUAAAAUCGGCUUGGGUCGGCCGAUGGCAAGAACGCUAAGAUUGUGGGUGCAUCUUCGAUGCAUCGACUACGUGCAGUCGAUGUAGAACAGAACAAAAGAACUGUAUCGGCAGUAGCCGAUACUAGAAAGGUAACAAUCGUAUCAGCUAACCAGCCGAUGGUAGAAGUAUCGACUGACAGCUGUUACAUAGGAACAUCAUAAACUCAAGGAAACGAAUACUUAGCGGCUGAACCAAAAGCUGAUGCUGAGGCAUAACCGUAGAGAUGUUUUGGCUAAGCAGCAGACCUACACAAACUAACAGGGAUCCUUAUACGACAAGGAACUUAAAGAAACGGCAAUCAAGACGAGGACAAUGUCUUGAUGGUAGGGAUAUGAGCUCUAGGGUGAUAGGAUUAACUAACUAUCACACUUCUCCACUUAAAGCAUACACCCUAUAAUUUAUCUUCUAGCUAUAACACAAACAUACAAUAUAAGGCAUAAUAAAACAUUCAUUCUCUAACAUUUGACCUAAACCACACAUUAAAGAUUUUCACUCAAGAUCACAAUAUAAAACUUAUAGGUUUUGACUUAGGGUUUCAAACGAAACUGAUUUUACAUUUUUAUGAACUUCUUAUGAAAAUCUAUGAAAUGUAGAAGUUCAUCGAUUUGAAAUACAGAAAGCUUUGGAAAUUUUACAAGGAACAUCCGAGAAUUUUCUAAAACAUAGCAAUCAAAUCCCUGGUCCGGGAAAACAGAUAACAGGAUGUUAACGACGAUAUCCCGGCAAAGGAAUCGCCGGCAUUAAGAAGAUUCAGAGAAUCAGAGCAAACCUUGGGAUAGCCUUGGUUAUGAAGGAGAACACGCGGAAAGUGAUUUCCCGCGGUGAAUAGGAUUGGCAACGAUAAGAUGAGCUCGAUGAUGACGAGAUCCUGAGGAUGACGAAGAAAUUUGUCGGGGAUGGUUGCCGUGGGUGGAAGAUAACCGAAGGAAUAGUCUCCGUGGUGACUCGUGGUCUUGCUCAGUGAUCGACGAGGAAAAGGAAUUGCUGGGUGUCGUGGACUCCUGGGACGAGAUGACAGAGCCGGAUUGGUUCGCUAUGCCAAAUCCUCCGCGAACCUCAAGGUUUCCUUGCUCACGGCUAAGCCUCCAUUUCUCACACGCGUGUGCCGCUGAGACACGGCCGGCACACUCGCGUAACUUCCUGCAGGACCGCCGCGCUUGAUCUCACCUCCGAUACGCCGCUUCUGCUCUGCUCUGCUCCCGCACCAACGGCGUCUUGCAUCCUUGACGUGUCAUCCAACAACAGAACCCUCGCGUCCUUCAGCACCGUGCGUAUCGGCAUUUCGUCAAACACCUAGGUUGCAUCUUCGAUACGGCCAAACCGCAACUCCUCCGGCGCGCGCGCGUCUGCGCGCUUCAGCUCCUGCGUCGCCUGCGCACUCAUGCGCUUGCGCUACUCCGCCGCCGACUAGACGUCGUCCAAUCCCUGGCACCACCUGCUUCUUUGGGCACCCAAGGAUCUGUUUGAGCCGUUCCCGAGCUGAAACCAUCACCGCAGCACCUUUCCCCUUUCCUCCUUGUGCGCAGUUAUAAUGCCGCUUGCCGGCCUACGCCGUCCACGAGCCUGCGCUCCAGUGCCCGCUUGCUCCUAGCGCCUGCGUAGCAUUGCCUGGAUCCGCUCUGCUCCUCCUGCACCGUGUGCUUGCGCCGUGCCAGCUCUGCUCCUGCGCUCACCCGCUCACACGCACCUCCCGAGCCCCGCGCACCCGCUCGCCCACAUCCAGCGCGCCUCCGCUCGGGCCGCCCCGCGCCAACGCCGCACCACCCGCACGCGCCUGCUCCUGGGCCCACGCCGGGCCGCGCCGCGCGUCCGCCCACGAGCCGGCCGAGCGCCUGCCGCCAUCCGCUCGCUCGGGCGCCGCUCCGUCCGCUGCCGCGUGCCUCCGCUUGGGCCACCUGCCUGCGCCGCUUGGGCGCUUGCGCGCUCCGCGGCCGCCUGUCUGCGCCGCGCGCCUGGCCCAGCGCCGGCCGCUCGUCUCCGCCUGCCGUGGCCCGCCUACCGCACCUCCGCUCGAACCGCCGCUGCGCCCGCUAGCUGGGCCGCGCGGCCGCGCGCUCCGCCCGCGUGGGCUCGCGCGCUCCUGGAGCCCAGCCGUGGCUUGCCGCCGCUGCGCCUAGCGCGCGUGCUGCCCUGGGCAGGAGCGCCCUUGAGCACCGCCGCCUCCUCCGCUUGAGGUCGUGCCAAGGAAGUGGGGAAGGGGCAGGAGGAUAACCCCCUGGAGGAGGCGCCGCUAGAACCAGAGACGCCAGGAGAGGAUAAGAGAGAGAGGGGAAAAACAGAGAAGAAGGAGGAAUGAAAUUCCCCAAGGACUGAUGCGUAAUUUCAGAAAACUGCAGGGACUUAUUUGUAAAACUAAAUUUCCCGUUGAUUUAAAAUCCAAAUGAAGAAAUGCCCAAAACGAAAGUUGGAGAGUUUUUCAAACUCUACAACAUUGCAUUAGGGCUCAAAUUCAAAAACUCAAAAUUUAUAUUUUUACACGUGAAUCUUUGAACAAAAGUCGGAUUUGAAUUGCUUUUAUCCUAAAAGUGUAAUUUAUAAAAUUUCAGGACCUAAAUGCAAUCAUUCAUGACACGUCAUAAUGACGGGAUAGACUCGUCAUAAUGGUUGGAUAGACAUGUCAUGAUGACUUGCACUUUUACACUUUAGUCCUAAGUAAAUUUGAAAGUUACUUUUGUAAAUCGAACAUUUGCAUAAAAGGAAUUGUAAUUUUAUAAAAUCACAUAAAUACCCUUAUUUUUACCACUUUACCCAAAAUUUUUACAUAUUUCAACACGCGCAUUUCCAAUGCAACUUUUGAGUAAAUAUAUAUAUAUUUUUACAAAACAUAAAGUAAGAAAAACAUAUUUACCAAAACCACCUUUCACUUAUUUUAAAAUUAUCCUUCUCCAAAUACAUUUUGCAAAAACAACCCUGGGUUUUCCUGUAAUUACAAAAAUACCCUUUUUACUUGCAUUUUAAAUUUUCAAAAGCUUCACACAAACACACAUGAGCUUUAUACUAACAAACACAUAGCUCACACUAACAAAAUAUAUUUCUAGCAUUACAAGUACACGAACUGUCACAGCCUUCCCCCCUAAAAAGAAUCUCGUCCCGAGAUUCGGACGAAAGACUCUUCAAGGGAAGAAAAGCAAAUCACACAUUAGAAGUGGCAGGGAGCAAUCACACUAGAGAUGAUUGAUGUUGAUGGUAAAAGUCAUUGGAGUAUGACAAGAUAAGUGUAACGGGAACAUAGAUAGAGUGUACAUGGAUAAGUUUAACAAGGAAAGAAAAAGAAAGGUGAUCCAGUUCUUAUGGAGCUACGAUCACAACAGGAGGACGAUAAAUGUCGGCGACAUUCAUCAUACAACUUAUGAAUAACAAGUGAGGAUUGUACGAAAGAUUGAUAAGUGAUAUUUGGAACAUUCUUGCUCAGAUUUUAUUAUCUGAAUGAUUUAGAUGAUAUUGAUUGCAAAAUAUGCCUAUUUAUACCAAUGCAAUCAAGGUAUAAUGAUAAAAUGCUUUAUCUUAGAGUGCAAUGCUCGAUAUAUAAUCAUGAACAUGAUGCACCAUUGUAAUGUAUGAUUGAAGUGAUGGUGCAACAUGAAGAUGGAGAAUUCCAUGCACGACCGAAAUGGUGCAUAUGACAUAAUGCAAUUAUCAUGAUGCUGACCAAAUGAUGCGUACAUUAUGAUGCAAGGAUGAUGAUACUUGCAAUGUAUGCACGUAUGAAAUGCAUGAAGCAUGAUGCAUACUGCUAACAUGAGUUGAUGAUGCACACGACUCACACCCUGCAACCGUCCUCUCGUAACUAACACUUGGGUAGUCCUAUAUCCUUAUACAAAGAUUAGAAGUUAGGACACUAGUAAGGUUGCAUAAGAAGAGAUUGCAGUGGGGUUACGUCACAUGUACUUAGUCACCAGUGCGCCCCUAAUGGCUCAAUCAUGUGACUGCAGUGCACAUGAGGCCUUAGGUUCCGACACGGCAUCAUGGUCAUGUGAUUAAACACCACCAUAAAAGAAGAAUAGCAACCUUAUAGUGCCAACAACAACAAGAUAGACUUAGGAAACUGAAGACAACCUAAAGUUGUACUAAAGCACACCCGUUAGUCAGUCUACGGAUUUCCGAUAAUGAUGCAACACCAUGCAUUAACCAAAAUGGUAUGUGUUAUGAUGCAUAGCUUUUGCCGGGAGGAUUGUAUUCAAAAAGUAAUUAUGGUUAUAUAUUUUUUUAAUUUAUCCAAAAUCAUCUGAGCAAAAAUUUGAAGGUACAACUUUCAGAUGUUGUAACCAGAAUAGCCAACGAUAUAAGGUACAACACCAAGAGAGGAUAGAUGGAUCACUAAUGAUGGAUUGAAGGGUUUGCUGAUGAUAGUUAUCAAGGUUCAAUCAUCAAAGGAGAAGCUUAAUGUUUCUGCCGAAACAGAUUUAAAGCAAAAUCAAGGAUUUGAUUCGGCUGUCAAGCUAAGAUUGGUGAUAGGGUUCAAGCUAGCAGAUUACGCUGGCUCCUACCACACAAAGUUAAAAUAGGCAUUCAGAUACAAGCACAUAUUUCAAAGCAAUCAGGUCAAUCCAAGAUGUCAUGAUGCAUGCACGUUCUACACGUUCUCACAAACAAAAAUAACUGCCAAGUAACCUUGGACUUACGUGGUUAAGUACGGUGGCAUCAUAUAGAUACGUCUCUCCCUAUAUAUAUACUAGUCGUUCUUACGUUCAAGCUUACGUAACGAGGUUAGCAUACCUGCAGAAAAUCACAAUAUAUAUAUAUUGAACCUUUCAUGCCAGCAUGUCAUGAAAGCGUCCCCAAACAUUACUGUUCACUAUAGAAACAGCAUCUGUACAAUUACCGCCGUACAGACAACGUUAACAUACGUUAUCGAGAUAACGUAUUCACGGGGGUACCGCAAAAUGCGGGGGUAUGAUCUGCGAUCGCCAUACCCUGCGCCGAACCAUAUACUCCCAAUGUCGUCAAUCGACAUUGGUACAUUGGCAGCAUCUCAAGUAGGCCACUGCUUGAGAAACAGCGUUCGGUUCGCAUCACCGACGGGAAGGCCAAGCUCCCUCAGUUGGCUGAGGAUCCUUACCUCCUUACCUCACGAUCGAAGGUGUCGUUACAGAAUGUAAGGUUGGGUUGUGCAUGAAUUUAAGUUUUGACAGAAAAUAAUGCUGGUAGUGAGGGUUAUAUAUAUAUACACACUAUAGCCACCUCUAUUUCCCUCAUAAGCAUUACCCUAGGGCUUUACGUACUAAGUACAAUCCUUAACGAAUCCAACGCAGUUUUGCCAAAUACUUUGUUGAUCAAACUUUUAUACUGAAAGCAUUUUUAAGGUAAAAUGUAUCUCCAGGGUAACCUUAUAGCUCUGAUACCAGCUGUGGCAGAACCAACCUGAAUUAUACCGGCUCAAGUACGCGAGUCCACUCCAGAGGGCUCCAACGUGCUUCAAACGGUAUAAUCCCUUGGCCUGUCGGGUAACGUCCCGAUAAACCACCGAUACACAGGAUCAAAUAAGGUUACCUCACACGAAGGUGAGUCCAGAGAUACAAUCACCAUUAUAUUUUACAUCACAGGGAAUCACUUUACAAGAGUUUCCAACAAUAGAGCAAGGUUUCAAAUUUAGAGAAAACAAUACAAACUGAUAAAGUUAGGGUUUUUAGCAGCGGAAAUCAUACGUGAUGACCUACAGCACGUCGUCAAGACGGAUGUCAUGCUAAGCCCAGGCACGACAUCACUCGAUAUCACCAGUGCUGGCCGAGGACGGAUCCCAUUCCACGGACCAUUCAUCUGGAAGAGCAUAGGGCCAAGGCAAGGGAAGAGUAGGGUCUUCACAGAUAUCACCUGAAAAACAUACAACUAGCAAGGCUGAGUAUACUAAUACUCAGCAAGGCUUACCCGGA
RNAcentral lists this long non-coding RNA (7916 nucleotides) under Panicum hallii. RNAcentral describes it as "long non-coding RNA (PHAL_LNC000971)". The record is from RNAcentral. Lineage: Eukaryota; Viridiplantae; Streptophyta; Magnoliopsida; Poales; Poaceae.